UCCUGACUGACCGAUAGUGAACCAGUACCGUGAGGGAAAGGCGAAAAGAACCCCGGCGAGGGGAGUGAAAAAGAACCUGAAACCGUGUACGUACAAGCAGUGGGAGCACGCUUAGGCGUGUGACUGCGUACCUUUUGUAUAAUGGGUCAGCGACUUAUAUUCUGUAGCAAGGUUAACCGAAUAGGGGAGCCGAAGGGAAACCGAGUCUUAACUGGGCGUUAAGUUGCAGGGUAUAGACCCGAAACCCGGUGAUCUAGCCAUGGGCAGGUUGAAGGUUGGGUAACACUAACUGGAGGACCGAACCGACUAAUGUUGAAAAAUUAGCGGAUGACUUGUGGCUGGGGGUGAAAGGCCAAUCAAACCGGGAGAUAGCUGGUUCUCCCCGAAAGCUAUUUAGGUAGCGCCUCGUGAAUUCAUCUCCGGGGGUAGAGCACUGUUUCGGCAAGGGGGUCAUCCCGACUUACCAACCCGAUGCAAACUGCGAAUACCGGAGAAUGUUAUCACGGGAGACACACGGCGGGUGCUAACGUCCGUCGUGAAGAGGGAAACAACCCAGACCGCCAGCUAAGGUCCCAAAGUCAUGGUUAAGUGGGAAACGAUGUGGGAAGGCCCAGACAGCCAGGAUGUUGGCUUAGAAGCAGCCAUCAUUUAAAGAAAGCGUAAUAGCUCACUGGUCGAGUCGGCCUGCGCGGAAGAUGUAACGGGGCUAAACCAUGCACCGAAGCUGCGGCAGCGACGCUUAUGCGUUGUUGGGUAGGGGAGCGUUCUGUAAGCCUGCGAAGGUGUGCUGUGAGGCAUGCUGGAGGUAUCAGAAGUGCGAAUGCUGACAUAAGUAACGAUAAAGCGGGUGAAAAGCCCGCUCGCCGGAAGACCAAGGGUUCCUGUCCAACGUUAAUCGGGGCAGGGUGAGUCGACCCCUAAGGCGAGGCCGAAAGGCGUAGUCGAUGGGAAACAGGUUAAUAUUCCUGUACUUGGUGUUACUGCGAAGGGGGGACGGAGAAGGCUAUGUUGGCCGGGCGACGGUUGUCCC
RNAcentral lists this ribosomal RNA (1030 nucleotides) under Escherichia coli. RNAcentral describes it as "partial 23S ribosomal RNA". It matches the Rfam family "Bacterial large subunit ribosomal RNA", at positions 474 to 1508 of the family's 2925-position model. Lineage: Bacteria; Pseudomonadati; Pseudomonadota; Gammaproteobacteria; Enterobacterales; Enterobacteriaceae. The record is from RNAcentral.